RNAcentral lists this ribosomal RNA (253 nucleotides) under uncultured bacterium. RNAcentral's name for it is "partial 16S ribosomal RNA". It matches the Rfam family "Bacterial small subunit ribosomal RNA", at positions 524 to 776 of the family's 1533-position model. The record is from RNAcentral.
UACGUAGGUGGCAAGCGUUGUCCGGAAUUAUUGGGCGUAAAGCGCGCGCAGGCGGUCGUUCAAGUCGCGUGUGAAAGCCCCCGGCUCAACUGGGGAGGGUCACGCGAUACUGAUCGACUCGAAGGCAGGAGAGGGUAGUGGAAUUCCCGGUGUAGUGGUGAAAUGCGUAGAUAUCGGGAGGAACACCAGUGGCGAAGGCGACUACCUGGCCUGUUCUUGACGCUGAGGCGCGAAAGCUAGGGGAGCAAACGGG